UACAGAGGGGGCGAGCGUUGUUCGGAAUUACUGGGCGUAAAGGGCGCGUAGGCGGCCCGCUAAGUCGAACGUGAAAUCCCCAGGCUCAACCUGGGAACUGCAUCCGAUACUGGCAGGCUUGAAUCCGGGAGAGGGAUGUGGAAUUCCAGGUGUAGCGGUGAAAUGCGUAGAUAUCUGGAGGAACACCGGUGGCGAAGGCGGCAUCCUGGACCGGUAUUGACGCUGAGGCGCGAAAGCUAGGGGAGCAAACAGG
Molecule: ribosomal RNA, 253 nt
Filed under: uncultured bacterium
Lineage: Bacteria
Description: partial 16S ribosomal RNA
Rfam family: Bacterial small subunit ribosomal RNA
Source: RNAcentral